UACGUAGGGUGCAAGCGUUGUCCGGAAUUAUUGGGCGUAAAGAGCUCGUAGGCGGCUUGUUGCGUCGGCUGUGAAAACCCGCGGCUUAACUGCGGGCGUGCAGCCGAUACGGGCGGGCUGGAGUUCGGUAGGGGAGACUGGAAUUCCCGGUGUAGCGGUGAAAUGCGCAGAUAUCAGGAGGAACACCGGUGGCGAAGGCGGGUCUCUGGGCCGAUACUGACGCUGAGGAGCGAAAGCGUGGGGAGCGAACAGG
This 253-nucleotide ribosomal RNA is filed under the name uncultured bacterium. RNAcentral describes it as "partial 16S ribosomal RNA". It matches the Rfam family "Bacterial small subunit ribosomal RNA", at positions 524 to 776 of the family's 1533-position model. The record is from RNAcentral.